AACGUAGGUGGCGAGCGUUAUCCGGAUUCAUUGGGCGUAAAGCGCUUGUAGGUGGCUUGGUAAGUUGGACGUGAAAUCUCCCGGCUUAACCGGGAGGGGUCGUUCAAUACUGCCGGGCUGGAGGAUGUCAGAGGGCAGCGGAAUUCCUGGUGUAGCAGUGAAAUGCGUAGAUAUCAGGAGGAACACCCGUGGCGAAGGCGGCUGCCUGGGGCAUACCUGACACUGAGAAGCGAAAGCUAGGGGAGCGAAC
RNAcentral lists this ribosomal RNA (250 nucleotides) under uncultured bacterium. Its description in RNAcentral is "partial 16S ribosomal RNA". It matches the Rfam family "Bacterial small subunit ribosomal RNA", at positions 524 to 773 of the family's 1533-position model. The record is from RNAcentral.